GUUUGUAUGCGUGUGCUUGUGUGUGUGUUGUGUUGUGUUUGUGCGUGUGCAAGUGCGUGCUUGUUACGAACCCUCAUUUAUAUUAAGUUGGUAUUCAUUUUUGGCACCCCCUGCUGGGGCAGGUAUCUCUGUUUACCCCUUUCUCCCUGUGGUCGCAGGCUAACGACCGAUUGCAGGCACCUGAUACCUCCCUACUUAAGGAGAUCCACCUGCGGUAGCGCGCUCUCUCUCUUCCACCUCCUGAAACCCAAAGGAUCGUGCAACCGGCUCCUGGCUUCGCCACCGUCUUCCGUGGUUUCAUCACUAUCAUCCCCUGCUUUGGGAUCAUGACGAUCUGGACCAGCCCCACCACGAUGAUGAGGCCCAGAGCGAGGAGCUUCGCCACGGUGAAGACGUCCUGGAUCCGGGUGGCCCAACGAACGCUGGAGCAGUUCACCCAGGAGUCUGCUGGAAGAUCACCCACCCAACCAGGCCGCCGAAGAUCUCGGUGACGUAGGAGUAGUCUCCUCCAGACUUGGGGAUGGUGACGCCCAGCUCGGCAUAGCACAUGGAGCCCAGGGCGCAGAUCCCUCCGCCCAGCACCCACACGAUGAGGGACAGGCCCACGGAGCCCGCGUGCUCCAGGACCCCCUUAGGAGAGAUGAAGAUCCCCGAGCCGAUGAUGUUUCCUGGGGAGAGCAAGGAGAAAGGACACGGUUCAGCAUGAACGUGUGUGUGUGUGUGUGUGUGUGUGUGUGUGUGUGUGUGUGUGUGUGUGUGUGUGUGUGUGUGUGUGUGUGUGUGUGUGUGUGUGUGUGUGUGUGUGUGUGGGGGUUUGUUUGUUUGUGUGUGAAGCUGCUCCAUAAUAGUGUCUGAACCAUGAUGUGGGUGCGCUCAAAUGCGCUUACCCAACCCUCACCCUAAGCAUUAAGCUCAUCAGCUAAUUGCAGGUUUGUUUCUCCCCUGUAAAAGAAGAGCCUCAUUUCAAAUCUUUGAUUUUCAACCGGUUUCACAGUAACGGUCAAUAACAAGUAAGUACAAGUCAGUUUUAACAGAACCGGUUUUAUAGAAAGGGAAGAACAGCUCGAUACAUAUAUGUACAUAAUUUAGAUUUACCAUUUUGUGUAUUUUAUGUAAGGCGAAAUUUCAAAGUUUUUUUUCUUUUAGAGAGACAUGCUGAAUAAAAACAACAUGUUUUCAAACACAAAAAUAAUCGUUUGAAUAAUCGUGAUUUCAAUAUUGGCCAAAAUAAUCGUGAUUAUGACUUUUCCCAUAAUCAAACAGCCCUAAGGCACUCUGUCAAAAGGGAGAGCCACAGUUCGGGGGCCAGUACUGUUCCACCCUCAGGCCGCCCGCAGAGGCAGUAACAGAGCCCAAACCACGUCUAAAGAGAGUGAACCGUCACAGCGGCACAGGGACGAGACGUUUUGGUGACAUGUUGUGCAGUGGUGUAGUGCAGGGUACACGCAGUGGUAGCUCCUCAUUCUUCAGUCAGUACUGCGUCGACCCACUUCAAAACCUCCUCUGAUGCGCGGUAUUGCAAUGUUCUGCGCUAGCCAUACAGUCAAGCACAUGAGUAGCCUAUCCUAUUGCAUAUGAAUAAAUGCAAAUGAGACCUCAAUAAAGCACAAUAAAGAGACUAUCUUGCCGGAAACAGUGGCUGAAAUGUACUGAGCCUCUCAUGGUAGAAAAAUACCCUUGAUGUGUAAAUCAGUUCCCUCGGAUUCCCAUUCCCCACGCAGUUUUCUAAAUCCGUUCCCUCUGAUGUGGUUUGUUCUUCACAGCAGGGAUCCCCCAUGGAGCGCUGUGACGGAGAACGAAUAUCUGAUUCAGACAGACAUCUAUACAGUAUCCAUCACUUUCUUUUCACAUUUGCUAUAGGCCUAUUAGUCAAAUAGAGUUUUUGCAUUACAUAAAGUAAAACUUAAAUAUUGCUAUUUUUGACAUAUUAUUUUUAACAUAUUGUUGAAUUCUUUGCAUGAUGAUUUUUUGAACAGCUUAUAUAAUAAUAAUAAAUAAUAAUGAUACAUUUAAUUUAGAGGCGCCUUUCAAGACACCCAAGGUCACCUGAACACCCAAGGUCACCUUCACCUUCUUAUAUGCAUGCAUUAGGCCUGUGUAUGACCAUUAAUAUUUGCAAACUGCCGCUUGACAAAUAAUGUUAAUUUUAUAAUGUUGGCACAGACUAUCUGUUGCAAGAGACCGUUUACAAAAUAAACUACUGCCCCAUAAACUACAUACAUGCAUGAGAGAAUAGUUGUCAAAUCUUCCUGCAUGGAUGUACUAAGGAAUAAGGAAUAGCUCACUCAAAAUGGGUAAUUAUGUAACUGUCUCACCCUAUAGUCUGUGGGCCACUAUUGUUUCCAAAAUCGGAACCUCUUCUGUGGUUAAUGUUAGUUUCAUAAUAAUCCUUACUCCCUGAAGUCAAGCAGAAGAAAUGAAGUGACAACGUGCAAACACUGGCCCAUUUUUGAGUGAACUAAAUAUGCAAGAGGAUUCUUACCCACCGUAUUCUAUGUCACUGUUUAUAACGUAGGGCGUUUAUCCUCUGGUGACGGGCCACUUUAAAUAAUUAAGAGUACACCCACUUCUCCAGGAAACACGUCUCAUGUGAGUCUCCCUGUUCCCCUUCAAUUUCUCCUCCAACUUAUUUCCGAUCGCACACAUUGCUCGCACAAAUUUGCGGUUGUAACGUCACACAUCAAUCAAUGUUGUGUACGACGCAGUGCAACUCUGCGUUUGAAGGGUGGCAUAAAUCUUCUCAGCUAGCAAAAGCCCCUCAACACUCACACGUCACGCAGGGUGCUGACACUAUGUGUUACACGUCAAGAUCUGAUUUCUGAGCAAUGGGCUGCUAUGUAAGAGCACCCAUGGGUGGCUUUGCACCGGCUGUAUUUGGUUCUGUUUAAAACAUUAGGGCCCUACCAUAUUUACGGCAAUUUUACAGGAUCUCUUUGCAAAAAGGGUUUUAGUCUGUUGU
This is a long non-coding RNA of Gadus chalcogrammus (walleye pollock), 2959 nucleotides long. RefSeq lists it as uncharacterized. NCBI's taxonomy places the organism in Eukaryota, Metazoa, Chordata, Actinopteri, Gadiformes, Gadidae. The transcript is spliced from 3 exons. The record is from RefSeq and is a predicted model, not a curated record.